RNAcentral lists this small RNA (65 nucleotides) under Salix viminalis (osier). The record is from RNAcentral. Lineage: Eukaryota; Viridiplantae; Streptophyta; Magnoliopsida; Malpighiales; Salicaceae.
UGAUAAUUUUUUUGCAGACUGACAAAUCGUCCCAUGCAUGUUUUCAUCAACUUGUACAGUUCAUG